UCAAACAAAAAUAAAAUGCUUCGCUGGGCGCAGCUUGAUACGACCGCAGAGGUCGAACCCUGAACAGUUGGGGCAAGUAUGGACACAACAUUCAAGCUUGAUACAGCUCUGAAUUUGGAUUGUGAUUAAAUAUUUGACACAGCAUAGGUUCUGACACAGAAAGAAUGUGGUCUAAGAACUUCAAUUUUUUUAAUUUACCUAUUAUGGUCCAAUGUCCAAAAUCAAAAUACAUGGUUAGAUUCAGCAUAUCAAAGAACCCCAUAUAUUCAAUUUUUGUUGAAAUCAAACAAAGUUUAAUUUUGGACCCCAACUUGAACAAACUUGAAAACUGGUCCCAUAAUCAAAUAUCUAAACACAUGUUUAGAUUCAGCAUAUCAAAGUACCCCAAGAAUUCAAUUUUUGUUAAAAUCAAACUAAGUUUAAUUUUGGACCCUUUGGACCUUAAUGUAGACCAAUUUAAAAAACGGGACCCAAAAUUAAAAAUCUAAAAACACGGUUAGAUUUGGCAUAUCAAAGAACCCCAAUAAUUAAAUUUUUGAUGAAAUCAAACAAAGUUUAAUUUUGGACCCUUUUGACCUCAAUAUGAACCAAUUUGAUAGCGGGCCCACAAAUAAAAAAUCUAAAUACAUGGUAAGAUUCAGCAUAUCAAAGAACCCCAUAUAUUCAAUUUUUGUUGAAAUCAAACAAAGUUUAAUUUUGGACCCCAAUUUGGACCAACUUGAAAACUUGGCCAAAAAUCUAAAAUCUAAAUACAUGUUUAGAUUCAGCAUAUCAAAGAACCCCAUAUAUUCAAUUUUUGUUGAAAUCAAACAAAGUUUAAUUUUGUUGGACCCCAACUUGGACCAACUUGUAAACUGGUUAAAUAAUCAAAAAUCUAAACACAUGUUUAGAUUCAGCAUAUCAAAGAACCCCAAAAAUUCAAUUUUUGUUAAAAUCAAACUAAGUUUAAUUUUGGACCCUUUGGACCUUAAUGUAGACCAAUUUAAAAAACGGGACCCAAAAUUAAAAAUCUAAAUACACGGUUAGAUUUGGCAUAUCAAAGAACCACAAUAAUUAAAUUUUUGAUGAAAUCAAACAAAGUUUAAUUUUGGACCCUUUUGACCUCAAUAUGAACCAAUUUGAUAGCGGGCCCACAAAUAAAAAAUCUAAAUACAUGGUAAGAUUCAGCAUAUCAAAGAACCCCAUAUAUUCAAUUUUUGUUGAAAUCAAACAAAGUUUAAUUUUGGACCCCAGUUUGGACCAACUUGAAAACUGGGCCAAAAAUCUAAAAUCUAAAUACAUGUUUAGAUUCAGCAUAUCAAAGAACCCCAUAUAUUCAAUUUUUGUUGAAAUCAAACAAAGUUUAAUUUUGGACCCCAACUUGGACCAACUUGAAAACUGGGCCCAUAAUCAAAAAUCUAAACACAUGUUUAGAUUCAGCAUAUCAAAGAACCCCAAGAAUUCAAUUUUUGUUAAAAUCAAACUAAGUUUAAUUUUGGACCCUUUGGACCUUAAUGUAGACCAAUUUAAAAAACGGGACCCAAAAUUAAAAAUCUAAAUACACGGUUAGAUUUGGUAUAUCAAAGAACCCCAAUAAUUCAAUUUUUGAUGAAAUCAAACAAAGUUUAAUUUUGGACCCUUUUGACCUCAACAUGAACCAAUUUGAUAGCGGGGUCCACAAAUAAAAAAUCUAAAUACAUGGUUAGAUUCAGCAAAUCAAAGAACCCCAUAUAUUCAAUUUUUGUUGAAAUCAAACAAA
This is a long non-coding RNA of Mytilus californianus (California mussel), 1738 nucleotides long. RefSeq lists it as uncharacterized. The transcript has 2 exons. The record is from RefSeq and is a predicted model, not a curated record. Lineage: Eukaryota; Metazoa; Mollusca; Bivalvia; Mytilida; Mytilidae.